Molecule: ribosomal RNA, 647 nt
Filed under: uncultured bacterium
Lineage: Bacteria
Description: bacterial SSU rRNA
Rfam family: Bacterial small subunit ribosomal RNA
Source: RNAcentral
GAAAGGCGCUUUUGCGUCACUGAUGGAUGGACCCGCGGUGCAUUAGCUAGUUGGUGAGGUAACGGCUCACCAAGGCCACGAUGCAUAGCCGACCUGAGAGGGUGAUCGGCCACACUGGGACUGAGACACGGCCCAGACUCCUACGGGAGGCAGCAGUAGGGAAUCUUCGGCAAUGGACGAAAGUCUGACCGAGCAACGCCGCGUGAGUGAAGAAGGUUUUCGGAUCGUAAAACUCUGUUGUUAGAGAAGAACAAGGAUGAGAGUAGAACGUUCAUCCCUUGACGGUAUCUAACCAGAAAGCCACGGCUAACUACGUGCCAGCAGCCGCGGUAAUACGUAGGUGGCAAGCGUUGUCCGGAUUUAUUGGGCGUAAAGCGAGCGCAGGCGGUUUCUUAAGUCUGAUGUGAAAGCCCCCGGCUCAACCGGGGAGGGUCAUUGGAAACUGGGAGACUUGAGUGCAGAAGAGGAGAGUGGAAUUCCAUGUGUAGCGGUGAAAUGCGUAGAUAUAUGGAGGAACACCAGUGGCGAAGGCGGCUCUCUGGUCUGUAACUGACGCUGAGGCUCGAAAGCGUGGGGAGCGAACAGGAUUAGAUACCCUGGUAGUCCACGCCGUAAACGAUGAGUGCUAAGUGUUGGAGGGUUUCCGC